This 533-nucleotide ribosomal RNA is filed under the name Epidiaspis gennadii. Its description in RNAcentral is "eukaryotic LSU rRNA". Lineage: Eukaryota; Metazoa; Arthropoda; Insecta; Hemiptera; Diaspididae. The record is from RNAcentral.
AUCUGGGCGGCGGAAUUCAGUGAUGGGCUGGCGGGUCACGCGCUCGUCCGGCCGUUUGAUAUUUCCGUCGCCGUUGCAGACGUCGCGACCUGUUCGUCGUCGGUCCUUGCUCGGAGGAAUCGCGAGCGAGUUCGUUGCGGGGCGUGUUUCGGCGCGUCUCGCGAUGAAGCCGCGGCCUUCUGGCUGACGACGGACAGUAAGCAACGGUGGCCGGCGCGGUGUCUCGCACUCUGCGUCGGUGCCGGUCGGCGACGAUUUCUUCGGGCCUCUUUCCGACCCGUCUUGAAACACGGACCAAGGAGUCUAACAUGCGCGCGAGUCGCGGGGUGUCGAGUGUGCCACGGUGCGCUCGUUACUCUCGAAACCCGUACGUUGAAGGCGUAAUGAAAGUGAACAGGGAAGAUGGCGUUCCGAGUCCACGAACCGUGAUCGAGUAUCGCGGCCGGACGCCCGCACUCCCGGGGCGUCUCAAUGGCUCGUCGCGGAUGCGGACGGUCGUUCUUCGGGGCGGCCGUCGGUCUGCGACGGACCGA